Molecule: ribosomal RNA, 496 nt
Filed under: uncultured bacterium
Lineage: Bacteria
Description: partial 16S ribosomal RNA
Rfam family: Bacterial small subunit ribosomal RNA
Source: RNAcentral
GACGAACGCUGGCGGCGUGCCUAAUACAUGCAAGUUGAGCGCUGAAGGUUGGUACUUGUACCAACUGGACGAGCAGCGAACGGGUGAGUAACGCGUGGGGAAUCUGCCUUUGAGCGGGGGACAACAUUUGGAAACGAAUGCUAAUACCGCAUAAAAACUUUAAACACAAGUUUUAAGUUUGAAAGAUGCAAUUGCAUCACUCAAAGAUGAUCCCGCGUUGUAUUAGCUAGUUGGUGAGGUAAAGGCUCACCAAGGCGAUGAUACAUAGCCGACCUGAGAGGGUGAUCGGCCACAUUGGGACUGAGACACGGCCCAAACUCCUACGGGAGGCAGCAGUAGGGAAUCUUCGGCAAUGGACGAAAGUCUGACCGAGCAACGCCGCGUGAGUGAAGAAGGUUUUCGGAUCGUAAAACUCUGUUGGUAGAGAAGAACGUUGGUGAGAGUGGAAAGCUCAUCAAGUGACGGGAACUACCCAGAAAGGGACGGCUAACUACGG